UCUGUAACACUUAUUAACUUUCGUUGUUGUUAUUUCCCUUUUUUUUUUUAUAUAUUACAAGAUUAUAAUACAUCACACACACACACACACACACACACACACACACACACACACACACACACAUACACACACACACAAAUAACAACAAAAACAGCAAGUUCUCUACACUAACCAGAGUAAUUUAUAAAUACAAGUUGAUGGAAACAAAAAAAUCCUUAGGCAUAUUAUUGUAAACCACGAGAGAGAGAGAGAGAGAGAGAGAGAGAGAGAGAGAGAGAGAGAGAGAGAGAGAGAGAGAGAGAGAGAGAGAGAGAGAGAGAGAGAGAGAGAGAGAGAGAGAGAGAGAGAGAGAGAGAGA
Molecule: long non-coding RNA, 358 nt
Organism: Portunus trituberculatus (swimming crab)
Lineage: Eukaryota; Metazoa; Arthropoda; Malacostraca; Decapoda; Portunidae
Exons: 2
Source: RefSeq, a predicted model, not a curated record